This 253-nucleotide ribosomal RNA is filed under the name uncultured bacterium. Its description in RNAcentral is "partial 16S ribosomal RNA". It matches the Rfam family "Bacterial small subunit ribosomal RNA", at positions 524 to 776 of the family's 1533-position model. The record is from RNAcentral.
UACGUAGGGGGCUAGCGUUGUCCGGAAUCAUUGGGCGUAAAGCGCGCGUAGGCGGCCCAGUAAGUCCGUUGUAAAAGUCAAAGGCUCAACCUUUGAAAGCCGAUGGAUACUGCUGGGCUAGAGUCCGGAAGAGGCGAGUGGAAUUCCUGGUGUAGCGGUGGAAUGCGCAGAUAUCAGGAGGAACACCGAUAGCGAAGGCAGCUCGCUGGGAUGGUACUGACGCUGAGGCGCGAAAGCGUGGGGAGCGAACAGG